GACGAACGCUGGCGGCGUGCCUAAUACAUGCAAGUAGAACGCACAGUUUAUACCGUAGCUUGCUACACCAUAAACUGUGAGUUGCGAACGGGUGAGUAACGCGUAGGUAACCUGCCUGGUAGCGGGGGAUAACUAUUGGAAACGAUAGCUAAUACCGCAUAAUAUUGAUUAUUGCAUGAUAAUUGAUUGAAAGAUGCUAUUGCAUCACUACCAGAUGGACCUGCGUUGUAUUAGCUAGUAGGUGAGGUAACGGCUCACCUAGGCGACGAUACAUAGCCGACCUGAGAGGGUGAUCGGCCACACUGGGACUGAGACACGGCCCAGACUCCUACGGGAGGCAGCAGUAGGGAAUCUUCGGCAAUGGACGAAAGUCUGACCGAGCAACGCCGCGGGAGUGAAGAAGGUUGUCGGAUCGUAAAGCUCUGUUGUAAGAGAAGAACGGGUGUGAGAGUGGAAAGUUCACACUGUGACGGCAUCUUACCAGAAAGGGACGGCUAACUACGUG
This 505-nucleotide ribosomal RNA is filed under the name uncultured bacterium. RNAcentral describes it as "partial 16S ribosomal RNA". It matches the Rfam family "Bacterial small subunit ribosomal RNA", at positions 28 to 507 of the family's 1533-position model. The record is from RNAcentral.